CAGGUACCUUUUUAAAAAUUUUUUGAGUUGGAAUCUCACUCUGUCACCCA
This 50-nucleotide small nucleolar RNA is filed under the name Carlito syrichta (Philippine tarsier). RNAcentral describes it as "Small nucleolar RNA Me28S-Am2634 (ENSTSYG00000024359.2)". Lineage: Eukaryota; Metazoa; Chordata; Mammalia; Primates; Tarsiidae. The record is from RNAcentral.